AUUGAACGCUGGCGGAAUGCUUUACACAUGCAAGUCGAACGGUAGAGGGGGCAACCCCUUGAGAGUGGCGAACGGGUGAGUAAUACAUCGGAACAUGCCCAGUCGUGGGGGAUAACGUAGCGAAAGCUACGCUAAUACCGCAUACGAUCUAUGGAUGAAAGCGGGGGACCGAAAGGCCUCGCGCGAUUGGAGUGGCCGAUGGCAGAUUAGGUAGUUGGUGGGGUAAAGGCCUACCGAGCCUGCGAUCUGUAGCUGGUCUGAGAGGACGACCAGCCAAACUGGGACUGAGACACGGCUCAGACUCCUACGGGAGGCAGCAGUGGGGAAUUUUGGACAAUGGGCGCAAGCCUGAUCCAGCCAUUCCGCGUGCAGGAUGAAGGCCCUCGGGUUGUAAACUGCUUUUGUACGGAACGAAAAGGUGGCCUCUAAUACAGGUUGCUGAUGACGGUACCGUAAGAAUAAGCACCGGCUAACUACGUGCCAGCCGCCGCGGUAA
RNAcentral lists this ribosomal RNA (496 nucleotides) under uncultured bacterium. RNAcentral's name for it is "partial 16S ribosomal RNA". It matches the Rfam family "Bacterial small subunit ribosomal RNA", at positions 30 to 523 of the family's 1533-position model. The record is from RNAcentral.